UAUGGGCUAUACAAAUCAAAUUUGAUUGAUUGAUUGAAAUACAAUUUGAAAAAAAUCAAAUAUACACAGGUGCUUAGGGUCUACCAGGCGCAUUAUAUGAGUGAACUAUUAUUGUCUGAUUAAGUUAUGUUUAACCUGUUGAAAUAGGCUUUUUUUUUAUGAUGUUGAAGGGGGCGGUGCCCCGUAUUAACAAGACGUCUAAGGACAUUUUCUUGAUUUUGAUAUGUUAUCUUAAAUUUGCCUUAAUAAGCUUUUGCAUUAGCAUGAUGCAAAAGUGUUUUAUAUACUUUUUCAUGACACGUCUGUCUAUAUACUGGGGCUCAAAUUUGACCUAGCGCACCUAGGGUAAAAAAGACAAUUUUACCCUAAAAGUGUAGGAUUAAAUUAAAAUUUUCAAAUCUUUUUUUGUAAAACUACACCAUUGCGGAUGAACUGUUUUGAUGCUUAAAAUUGGUUUUCCGAAAUCUUGGGUUCUGGAAAGUAGGGGAAUUAGUUAUAAAGUAGAUGAUGAAUUUCAAAUCAUUGUCAAAAAUAAUUGUAAAAACACUUUUUGAGCAGAAGUGUUCUUUGGCUGUUUCUUUGCAAGAAGUGCAGUAAUUUGCUGUUGUAUUUCUUGCUCACCUGCCACGCCUCCACGCAUACCUGCAGACUGUUUUCUGUCCUCCUCACACACACGAACACACUACCAUACCUGUCAAAGCUGCUACACCAGUUUAGCAACUUCACACACCCAUUUAUCUUUCCCCUUUUUCUGUCGCAAGUCAUUGUGAACUGAACAUCUCAACUGCAGGACAGCACAGUAGAGGGACGGAAGAAAACAAGGGCAUUGCACUACAAUUUGGUGAAGAGCAUUUCGACAGUAUGGGUGCUGGCCAGAGCAGCGACAAGUUCCACUGUAACCGCUAUCUGAAUGGACAGGGACCUCCAUCACUGGUGCAACAAGCUAAUGAUGGGGUGAAUAGAAAAUACAACGUACUAAAUGGCUGCCAGCCAGAGGGCCAGACAACCUGUGUAAUCCUACACAGAGACCUGCCAGGAUUCCCUAAUGACAACACCCUACAGAUCAACUUCAUGUUUCCAGAUGGAAUCCAGACACACACCUCCCUACCCUUACAUGAGGCUUCAUUGAAAGUGAGGCAUGGAGAACAGAAGCUAAAAGACCCUAUCACAGAACAGAGCAGGAAAAACAUCCUCACCCUGGCCAACCAUAUUCAGGUCUGCAUCUCUGUGCUUACCUGCCUGACAACCUUGACGGCAGGAAGGUUUUCAAGCUGCUGGACAAGGCCUUUCACCAGCAGCUCUUGUUCACUGUUGCUGCUGGUAAAGAUGGAGGGGACAUGGUCAACUCUUCCAUCCCCCUAAAAAUACAAGCAUAUGGAGGGAACCAAGUUGAAUGCUAUCCAGACUCGGACUACCUGAAGACUGUGAGAAAACUCCUGAAGGAUAAUGGCAAUGAAUGACACACAAUACAAACUGCUGGAUGAAGGCAUAGUAAAGUUGACCUCUGAAAAGUCAAACAAUCUAUUCUAUUCUAUUCUAUUCACUUGAUGAACUAGAUUUUUAGAUUCUUAAUUAUCAUAUAGUACCGACAGAGAGGUGUCUGAUUGGUCCCAGAUUUAUUCUGCAGUAAGAUAUAUACAGCCAGAGAUAUUAGCCAUUUCCAAAUUGCGCACUUUAGGGUUGAAUGCAGCCCGCAAACUACAAUGACAGUCAGUAAAGCAAAUAACUCUGCCAAUAUGAUUGUCUAGCUCUCAUAGUAGAAAUAUUCAAAAGGGAAGUGAUCAUAUUUCUCAUAAAAUUAGUUUAAGACAGUGAAACCAAAAUGUAAUAGUUUAGUAGUUUAUGUAAUCCUUCUAAAAAUGAAAUAAACAAAAAGACAUGGGUGAAAAAAUAACCUCCAUUGCAAAAGUAAUAAGCUCUAAAAGCUUACCCUAAGAUAAAAGGACUCCUCUUCUGGCAAUGUGAAAAGAGACAAUAACCUUUUAGCAGGUUUACUUAUUUUCCAAAAAACUAAAAAAUGUAUGCUCUAUUUUGUAUUGAAACUUCACGAACACAAUUCAAAAUGCCACAAGACUUGUCCACAGCGUAAAGAAGGAGGUGGAGUGCCCACAUAUUAUAAAAUGAAAGUGAUAUACAGAAAACAGUCAUUUCUUUUGGUCUAUGGAUUCAGCUCUUUCUAUUCACAUACCUCACAACAAACUUUAGUAUACUAAAAUACAGCAGGUCAUAUUUGAUUCCCAGAAUCUCCAAUGGUCUCUUCCAUCACCAGACAAAAGCAUAAAUCUCUCAUUGAUAAAACAUCCUUUUUCCCCCAACAUAACAACUUCAGAAAUCAGUGAUUUCCACAUAGAAAUAAAGGGAGGGUCAUCCCUGACCGAUUUCACCAUAAUGCCUUUACUUGCCCGUAUCAAAGGUGAUUGAACAGUAUCUUGAUGUUGUAUUAGUGUGUCAGGAAUAUUUCCAAGGAGACAUAGAAGUAGAUUUGCAAACACUUGAUUGUCUAAUGCUGUGUAUCUCAAAUGUAUUGCAUUCCCACAGGCAUUGAAGCCAGGUGCCAAUGUGAGUUUUACAUUGGAGACAGUUAGAUUUAUACUUGUGAUGUCUAUUACUUUUAAUAUCUAUAUUUUUGUUAAUUAAUAUAAUUUAUAUGGUUGUGGGUUUUAUAUUAUACAUAUUGUUUUAUAAGCACGUUUUUACUUGUAGUUAUUAUGAUUAUUAUCUCUACAUUUGUCCAAUGUACACCAAGAUGUUAACCAUGCCAGUUUUUCCAGAUGCAAACUAAACAUCUUUUAAUAACAUGUUUGUGCUCUUUAUAGUCCAAAAUAAAAUCUCUAAUGGGUUAGAAUCUA
RNA transcript from Hippoglossus stenolepis (Pacific halibut), 2849 nucleotides. It is a transcript of the gene named deltex E3 ubiquitin ligase 3L1, with no coding region annotated. The transcript is spliced from 6 exons. NCBI's taxonomy places the organism in Eukaryota, Metazoa, Chordata, Actinopteri, Pleuronectiformes, Pleuronectidae. The record is from RefSeq and is a predicted model, not a curated record.